Molecule: ribosomal RNA, 562 nt
Filed under: uncultured fungus
Lineage: Eukaryota; Fungi
Description: eukaryotic LSU rRNA
Rfam family: 5.8S ribosomal RNA (bases 190-343)
Source: RNAcentral
UCUUCCGUAGGAGUAACCUGCGGAGGGAUCAUUACAGAGUUAUCCAACUCCCAAACCCAUGUGAACUUAUCUCUUUGUUGCCUCGGCGCAAGCUACCCGGGACCUCGCGCCCCGGGCGGCCCGCCGGCGGACAAACCAAAACUCUUGUUAUCUUAGUUGAUUAUCUGAGUGUCUUAUUUAAUAAGUCAAAACUUUCAACAACGGAUCUCUUGGUUCUGGCAUCGAUGAAGAACGCAGCGAAAUGCGAUAAGUAAUGUGAAUUGCAGAAUUCAGUGAAUCAUCGAAUCUUUGAACGCACAUUGCGCCCAUUAGUAUUCUAGUGGGCAUGCCUGUUCGAGCGUCAUUUCAACCCCUAAGCACAGCUUAUUGUUGGGAACCUACGGCUUCGUAGUUCCUCAAAGACAUUGGCGGAGUGGCAGUGGUCCUCUGAGCGUAGUAAUCUUUUAUCUCGCUUCUGUUAGGUGCUGCCCCCCCGGCCGUAAAACCCCCAAUUUUUUCUGGUUGACCUCGGAUCAGGUAGGAAUACCCGCUGAACUUAAGCAUAUCAUAAAACGAGGAAGGA